CAGAAGGAGGAGAGGUGCACGCGCCGCGAGUGGGCGGAGCUUCUGGCGGCGACCUUCGGGGCGGGCGCCUUGGAUGUUAGUGGCUUUUGUUUGAGGGUCCGAGAUCCUCGGAUCAGCCCAGCGGAGAUUGGGCUAGUGAGGCCGACCAAACUUGCCCAGAAUUCUGUUUCCCUUGUCUCUUAGUUGUCUCGUGCUCCGUCGGCGGAGGCCGCGUCCACCCCGAGCCCUGAGCCAGAGUCCCGCGGGCCAGGGUCCGGCUCAAGACAGGGAGUCCUUUCCGAGUGUCGCCGCUCACGCGAAGGCCGCAGGUGCCACGAAGUCGGAGCACCGAGGAGACGCAGACUGGAUGUCGGGAACCGAGGGUGGGCGGAGGCCCUGCUGCAAUGGUGUCCUGAGUUCUGAAAGAGGCCCCGGACGCUGCGUCCUUACUUCUUCGGUCCUCGGUUCUUUGUGCCCUUGUUGAAAUCAUUUCGAUCAAGACAUAUAGGCAGCCACGCAAUAGUGUGGGUAGAACACUGUAAGGAAGAAGUAGAGGCUAUGCCUUCUAGUGAGGAGGGGAGGCAUUGCACAGGGUGGGAAUUUGGAUACAUUUUGGUGCACUCGUAGUCAUUGUUUCCCCAGAGGCCUCAGUCAUGUAAGGAGCUUACAAAAGAAAUUUAAGAAAGAUAAAUUCUUAAUGUAACCAGAUCCCAGCCCAAGAUGACCUGUGGUGUGCCCAACAGACACCAUGAGAGGACAAGAGUGCCUGUUCCACUCGAAUUCAAAAUACCUCCACAGUGUGUCUCUUCUCAUAGGCUGGCAUGGAGUUGGGGAUGGGAGGAACCUGCCAAGCAAGGUGUUCCUGCCGUAGCAUCAUGGGUCAUCAUUCCAGUUCCAGGCUCAGCCACCCAAGAGACCCAGCACUGUGUGCCAUACAGCUUGCUUUUGUAACCCUUUCUGCACAUGGCUGAGCACAAGGCUGCACAUCCUGAGCGAGAAAUGUGCAAGCGCCUGGCAGGGCUUUACCAGCAGCAACUCAUAGUGAACCAUCCCAGAAGUGCAGAGUGGUGCCUUUCAUUUCCGAAGAACCUUAGCAUUCACACAGCAUGAAGAGGGGAGCAAGCAAAGAGAAUGGGAAGGACUUCACUGCCACUUCAGGCCUUCUGCAGCAAAAGGCCUCUUACCCUGGCUGGAAGCUGCAUGGUGAUACUCAAGGCAGUGAGGCCUUCCAAAGUGGACAAAAUGAUUAUAGCUGCCAAGAAUAUGGGAAAGACUUCGGCCACUGAUACAUGCUUUUUGAGCACCAAAAAAAUCCACACUGCAGAAAAGCUAUGACUAUAGUGAAUGUGGGAAAUUAUUUAGGUAUGAAUCCAACUUCAUUAAACAUCAGUGAGGUCACAUUGAAAUGUGGUGAGUGUGGAAAGGCCUUCAGUUUCAAAUAUAACAUUGUUGACCACUACAAAAUUCACACUGGAGAAAGGCCUUACACGUGUUUUAAAUGUGAGAAGGGCUUCAUGAGGAAGUCCCACCUUGUUCAGCAACAGAAAAUCCACAUUGAAGGAUUCUUUACAAAAAGGUCUAAUGGCUGUAACCAGAGAAUUCACACCAGGCCAAGGCCUUAUAAAUGCAGCCAAUGUGAAGAGGCUUCCACACUGGAAAAAGACCUUGAGUGAGUCAGUGUGGGAAGUCCUUUAUGCACAAUUCUACACUGAUUAGAUAUCAGAAAGUUCACACUGGAGGAAGACCUUAUGCAUGCAGUGAAUGUGGGAAAUUCUUCAUGGAGAGCUCCAUCCUCAUCAUCAGAGAGUUCAUACUGGAGAAAGGCCUUAAGAGUACAGUGAGUAUGGGAAGUUCUUUAAGUAUUGAAUCACACUGAACAGGCUGCACUCUGGGGAAAGGCCUUAAUGUAUGCAGUGAAUGGGAAGUUUUUAUGGACAGCUCCAUGCUCAGCCACCAGAGAGUUCACACUGGGGAAAGGCCUUAUGCAUGUGGCAAGUGUGGGAAACUUUUUAAGGUAUCACUCCAUAUUAGAUAUACACCAGAGUUCAUACUGGAGAAAAACCUUAGGAGUGUAGUGAAUGUGGGAAAUUCUUUAGGCACAAUUCAGAUCAAAUCAGACAUUGAAGAAAUCACAUGGGAGAAAAGCCUUAUGAGUGAAUGUGAGAGAGUAGCCAAAAGUCCCAUCUCAUCUGGCAUCAAAAAGUUCAUACUCAGGAGAACUCACAAGUGCAGCAAAUGUGGGAAGUUCUUUAUGGAUAGCUCCACAAUCAUCAGAGUUCACACUGGGGAAAAGACUUAUGAGUACAGCAGAUGUGGAAACUAUAGAUACAACUCCAGCCUCAUCAAACAUAAGAGAACUCAUACUGGAGAAAGGCCUUACCAGUGUAAUGAAUGUGGGAUGGGCUUUAACCAAAAUUCCUGCCUCAUUCAACACCACAAAGUUCACACCAGAUGAAAUGUAUAAAGAUUUCAAACAGACAUGUUUGGAUGUCUCACUAUGAACUAUUACUUUAGAUUAUAAAAUUCAGGUAAAAAAUUUACUAUAUGAACCAUAUUUAAGUUCACUUGUCUUAAGUCAUUGAUACACUAUUAUGCAGUGAGUAUGCAGAAGUCUUUUUACUUUAUGAAACUAAAUUUUAUACUGUUUAGCAGCUAAUUUCCCAGGAUAUCCAGCUUCUGAUAACUGUCACUAUGACUUUUACUACUACUGGUUCUCCAUAUAAGAAAAAUGAAGUUUCUGCCUUUUCUUAAUUCCUUUGUGCCUUAUUUCACUUACCAUCAUGUCAUAAUCAUGACAAGUUCUAUCCUUUUAAAAAACAUUAAAGUUCCAUUUUAUGCAUGUA
Molecule: long non-coding RNA, 2822 nt
Organism: Cavia porcellus (domestic guinea pig)
Lineage: Eukaryota; Metazoa; Chordata; Mammalia; Rodentia; Caviidae
Exons: 3
Source: RefSeq, a predicted model, not a curated record